UACGAAGGGGGCUAGCGUUGCUCGGAAUCACUGGGCGUAAAGCGCACGUAGGCGGAUUGUUAAGUCAGGGGUGAAAUCCUGGAGCUCAACUCCAGAACUGCCUUUGAUACUGGCGAUCUCGAGUCCGGGAGAGGUGAGUGGAACUGCGAGUGUAGAGGUGAAAUUCGUAGAUAUUCGCAAGAACACCAGUGGCGAAGGCGGCGCGCUGGACCACUACUGACGCUGAGGAACGAAAGCUAGGGGAGCAAACAGG
This 253-nucleotide ribosomal RNA is filed under the name uncultured bacterium. Its description in RNAcentral is "partial 16S ribosomal RNA". It matches the Rfam family "Bacterial small subunit ribosomal RNA", at positions 524 to 776 of the family's 1533-position model. The record is from RNAcentral.